GGGUGGACUGCUGAGGAGGAGGAUGUGCCUUGCUGGCUCCAGCUGAGGAGCAGCCAGUUACCUGGACUGUGGAAGUAGAAGAUGCUGGGGCCCAGACAGGCACCCGCAGAUGCCCUAGAGAAACUACAAUAGCACCUGAGACCCUGAAGCUGCUGCACACUUGUGGAAGCCUGUCCCUGAUGAGGAUGAGAAAAAAGGACUAGAGAGGAUAUGUUCAGCAAGAUCCUGCAAGCCAGUGAUGCAUCAGACCAUGAACAGAGAGCCUCGAGAGUGAAUGUGGCAAACAGUAUGGAGAAAGGCCCAGGAAUCCCAGCAGGAAAAGGAGGGAGAUGUGCACCAGGACAUAAUGGGGUUUCUCAGCCAGUAAACUAAAUGCUUCAGAUUCUUGUUGACCUACAGGUCCAACUAUCAUGGGCUUGCCUCCCUUUUCAGUCAAUGGAGAACUCCAUUUUAGCACUUCCUUACGCCCUCAAUAUUCCAUUUGGCAUCAUGGCUGCAUCCCUACUCAUACCACUCCAUACCAGGGGAUAGUAAGGACAACCACAGCUUCAUAUUCACAGACCUGUGAGAGCUACGGUUGGUGUAUAUGUAGCCAAAAUGGACAGGAAUGUUUUCUACUGUUCUAAUUUUAAAGUUCUGUUCUGUUAAUUUACUUGAGAAGUUUGUGUUGUAUUUGCUUUUUAAUUGCACAUUAAUGUUUUGCACUGCUUUCAGUACACAUACAUUUCUAGUUUUGAAAAUAAAUUCAUCUGUAUCACAUCAUAACAUACAUUUCAAAGGGCCCAGCACUACUCAAAGUA
Dermochelys coriacea (leatherback sea turtle) is the source of this 800-nucleotide long non-coding RNA. RefSeq lists it as uncharacterized. The record is from RefSeq and is a predicted model, not a curated record. The transcript has 2 exons. NCBI's taxonomy places the organism in Eukaryota, Metazoa, Chordata, Testudines, Dermochelyidae.